AUGGCUGGGCACACCCACGCUCGCUUCCUCCUGGCAUGCCUCGCCGCCUCGAUCCUGUUGACGUCGCAGGCGCAGCCGGCCACGCCGACGGAGGUCAAGGUGGGGUUCAUCGUCGACGCCGGCUCGCCAGUCGGCAAGAUCGCCACGACCACAAUCCCCAUGGCCCUGGAAGACUUCUACGCCGCCUACCCCAACUCCCCCGUUCGGGUUCGGAUCCUGCCGCACGACUCCGGCGGAGACGUCGUCGCCGCCGCGUCCGCCGCGUUGCAGCUGAUGACGGUCCAGGGAGCGCGCGCCAUCCUCGGCCCGCAGUCGUCCGUCGAGUCGGCCUUCGUCGCCGACCUCGCCACGCAGGCGCAGCUCCCCGUCGUGUCCUUCUCGGCCACGAGCCCGUCGGUGUCGCCUGCCACGGCGGCGUUCUUCGCCCGCGCCGCGCUGAGCGACGCGUCGCAGGCCGACGCCAUCGCCGCGCUCGCCACGCACUUCGGGUGGCGCCGCGUCGUGCCCAUCUACCAGGACGACGACUACGGCGCCGCCUUCGUGCCCUUCCUCGUCGACGCCCUCACCGCCGAGCGCACCGAGGUCCCCUACCGCUGCGCGCUCCCGGCCGCGGCGUUGCACGACGCCAUCGCCGCGGCGCUGCUACGCAUGGAGUCCGAGCAGACGCGGGUCUUCGUGCUGCACACGCGCCCCGAGCUCGCAAAGAAAGUGUUCGCCGCCGCCGUGGACACCGGCAUGAUGGCCGAAGGCUACGUGUGGAUCAUCACCGACGGGCUCACGGGCCUCCUCGGCUCUGUCGACCCGCCGCAGGGGGUCAUCGGGCUGACGCCGUACGUACCAGACACGACGCGGCUGCGCGGCGUCAAGAAACGAUGGGCGCACCGGUACAUGCGCGACCACCGGGACGCCGAGCCGGCGCAAGCCGUGAUGGGCUGCUACGCUCUGUGGGCGUACGACGCCGCAUGGGCCGUCGCGUUCGCAGCAGAGCGACUCAGCUCCGGCGACUUAUCGUCGCCACCUGGGCUCGUAGGCGGCAAGGGCGGCCCGACCGACAUCGCCGGGCUCGGCAAGUCAACAUCAGGCCUCAACUUCCUCCGAGCUAUCAACAGCACGAAAUUCGAUGGCCUGGGCGGCAAGUUCGAGCUCGUGAACGGCGAGCUCGCCGUGCCGGCGUUCCAGGUGGUGAACAUCAUGGACAACGGAAGAGAGAGGGGCAUCGGGUUCUGGACGCUCCUGCACGGGCUGAGCCGGCACGGUUCGAACGAGUCGAGAGGCGAGCUCGGGCCGGUGAUCUGGCCGGGAGAUUCGACGGUCCGGCCAACGGGGUGGGUGCAGCCGACGAGCGCGCGGAAGCUGCGGGUGGCGGUGCCGGGGAACGUGUCGGACAGCUACAAGCCGAUCGUGCAGCUGGAGGUGGAUCCGGCGACGAACCAGACGACGGCCAGCGGGUUCGUGAUCGAGGUGUUCGAGGCGGCGGUGCGGCUGCUGCCCUACGCCCUGCCGUUCGAGUACGUGAAGGCGGCGUCCAUGCCCUACGACGACCUUGUCCAAGCGGUUGGCAAUGGGACGUUCGACGCGGCGGUGGCGGACAUCACCAUGACGGCGAGCCGGUCGAACCACGUGGACUUCACGCUGCCUUACGCAGGGACGGCCAUCGCCAUGUUGGUGCGGGUGCGCGACCAACGGAGCAACAAGCGAACAUGGGUCUUCCUCAAGCCGCUCCGCUACGACCUCUGGCUCGUCAGCGCCGCCUUUUUCCUCUUCACCGGCUUCGUGGUCUGGGCCAUCGAGCACCGCGGCAACCGCGAGUUCCGCGGGCCGGCCUCCUACCAGGUCGGCACGCUCCUCUACUUCGGCUUCUCCACCCUCGUCUUCGCCCACAGGGAGACGCUCAAGAGCAACCUCUCCAGGUUCGUGGUGCUCGUCUGGGUCUUCGUGGUGCUCAUCCUGCAGUCCAGCUACACGGCGAGCCUCACGUCCAUGCUCACGGUGCCGCAGCUGGAGCCGGCCGUGGCCGACUACGGCGAGCUGCAGCGGGGCACGGAGAUGGUCGGGGUCAUGAACAACUCCUUCGUGCUCAGGGCCAUGACGGCGUCCGGGUUCCCGCAGGGAAGGCUCGUGCGGUACCCGAACUCGCAGACCAUCCAUGAGUGCCUGCUCAACGGCAGCAUUGGCGCCGUCGUAAACGAGACGCCCUACCUCAGGAUCUUCCUCAAGACCUACCGCGACAACUUCACCAUGACGGGACCGCUCAACAAGACCGGCGGGUUCGGGUUCGCGUUCCCCAAGGGGUCGCCGUACGUGACGGACCUGUCGCAGGCCAUCCUAAAGCUCACCGAAAGCGAUGAGAUGAACAUGAUCGAGCGCAAGUGGUUCGGCGACCCCAACGACGAUGGUGCCACGCAGGACGGCGGGCCGUUCACGUCCAACAGCCUCAGCUUCAGCAGCUUCUGGGGCCUGUUCCUUAUCACCGGCGCCACCUCACUCCUCUGCUGCGUCGUCCACCUCGCCACCUUUGUCGCGGCCAACCGACGGGAGCUCCCGCCGCACUUGUCCUGGAAGGACUGGCUCUCGAGUUUGUUCAAGCUCUUCGACGACAAGGACCCCUCGUCGCACACAUUCAGGGUCAAGGACGACGGCGGCGCCGUGUCUGUCCGGAACGACGCGGUUGCCUCCCCUCCUAUUGCGCACAGCGAGCUUGGCAGCCCGCUCAGCGCGCCCUACACGAGCGAGUGGUCGGGGACGGCAAGCCCGGCGACCGGUGAGAUCGAGCUGGCCGCCGGUGGACAGGAGAGGCAUGAGGUGGCUCCCAACCCUGACGGCUGUGGAGAGAAUGGCAGAGGCCAGUAG
This 2850-nucleotide ribosomal RNA is filed under the name Triticum aestivum (bread wheat). RNAcentral describes it as "partial small subunit ribosomal RNA". Lineage: Eukaryota; Viridiplantae; Streptophyta; Magnoliopsida; Poales; Poaceae. The record is from RNAcentral.